UGCAAAAAUAUUAAAUGACAAUGUAUUGAAUCGCUUUUGUUGAUAUGUAUGAUAUUGAUUAAAUUGUAUUUGCAUGCUGUAACAUUUCUAUUCCAUUUCAGGGGGCUGUGGUGAGUAUUGUAGUAUAAAUUUGUUUCAAUAAAUCAUGAUGAAUGAAAACUGAUUUUGAUUCGUUUUGUACAGGUUUACUUGUAUAGAAGUGUAAUGCGUUGGGUAGAAAUUAGAAUCUACUCAGUACUGAUAUAGUGUCGAUAUGUUGUGAUUAGCGAUGAUGGUGUAUGAUGGUGGAACAGAACAUGAGCUACUUUGGGGAAACGAACAUAUGAUUGAACAAUGAUUGCAAACAUAUUAGAUGAAUGAUAUGAUAUUGCUUAAAUUGUAUUUGCAUGCUGUAACAUUUCUAUUUCAUUUCAGGGUGCUGUGGUGAGUACUGUAGAUUGUAGUGCAUAUGUAUAGAAUUCAAUAAAAGAUUAUGACUGAAAACUGCUUUUGAUUCUUAUUGUACAGUUUUAGGGAUUAUAAGUCUAUAGCAACUCUGUCGGUUGGUGUUCAUGAGUGUGAGCUUAAUACAGCAAUGUUUGAGUAGUACAAAAAUGUUUUCGCUUUUGUGGUCGCCAGCUGUCCGUGAUCUGUAAAGUGAAAAUACACAGAGCUAUGAAGCAUACAAAUGUUUCGAAAUUUUAUCAAUGAUUGUAUACUAUGCAUGUUUUGAUUUAGUUCGUUUCAGAUUUGACAUGAGAUGAAAACCUGACAUGAUUUGAACAGAGCUGGGAAACGAAAAGGUAAGUCUGUUUCAUUCCACUAUGAACACUUGUAUUUUGACAAAAGAAGAGAUAAAGUGAGUUACUUUAUCAUCAUGGUUUCAUUUGGUGUAUUACACAUGAACAGAGGUAAACCUAGCUAGCUUUUCGUGUACUCUAUUUUGGAUGAUGAGUAUGUCAGUAACUUUAAUUGUACGGCUAGUAAAGUAUGAACAUGAAUGCUUUGUUCAGAUUUUCAGAUGUGUGCUGGCAGUUCAAGUCUGGCAGCUGGAGUGAACAGUCGUGUUUUCUGGAGCUCCAACAAUAUGCUAGAAGGUAAGUAACUAUGUUUGUUUUGCAUUGCAUGUUUUUAUAUGUUUCAGACUUUCAAGCAGAGAUGUCAUGCUGACUGGAGUUGAGCACAGGGCAGUGACAAAGUGAAAGGUAAGUACUUUUGACUGAAUGUUUGUUCUAUGCAUGUUUUGUUUUAAUACAUUUCAGGAGUGCUUAUCCAGUGAUGAUAUGACAGUUGGAGUGAACAGUGGAGCCAAGCAGUCUUGUUUUUGGAGCUACUCAACAAGCCUUGAAGAUGCUGAUGGCAGUGAUGGGUUUUCAAGCUGACCUGAACAGAAAAGCACUCAUAUGGUAAGUACAAAAUAGUUGUUAUAUGGGAUGUUUUGUGCAUGCUUUUAUGUUUCAGGUGUACUUGCUGACAGCGACGAAGACGAAUCAAGAAGAGGAACAUUGUUGAGAAAGUGAUUGGGACUUGAAAACAGGAUUCGAGUCACUGGUUUACACAUGGAAGAAGAUUUCCACGUCUGUUACUCAACUCUACAGAAUCAAG
This is a long non-coding RNA of Dreissena polymorpha, 1584 nucleotides long. RefSeq lists it as uncharacterized. The transcript is spliced from 3 exons. Lineage: Eukaryota; Metazoa; Mollusca; Bivalvia; Myida; Dreissenidae. The record is from RefSeq and is a predicted model, not a curated record.